GCAGCGAGCAAGCGAGAGAGAGAGAGAGAGAGAGAGAGAGAAGGGGAGGGACGGAGGGAGAGGGAGCGAUGGAGCACUCGUUCUCGGGGGGGAGCUGGAACGUGAUCCCGAGCAUGGCGACCCACAGCAACGUCUCUACGCCCACGAGCCAUGAUCAUCUCUAUCUCCAGCAACAACCCCCCGACCUUAUUCCCCAGCAGCAGCAACCCUUUCACCAAUUUCAACCUCAGCUCCCCCAAUUCCAACAACACCCGCAGUUUCCGCAGCAGCAGCAACAGCAGCAGCGUUUCGUUCAGCAGCAGCAGCAACACCAGUCUCUCGCUUCUCACUUCCACCUCUUGCACUUGGUGGAGAGUUUGGCGGAUGCCGUUGAGAACGGGACUCGCGACCAGCACUCCGAUUCCUUGGUCAGUGAACUGAACAAUCAGUUUGAGAAGUGCCAGCAGCUGUUGAACUCGAUAGCUGGGUCAAUUAGCUCCAAAGCUGUGGCACACUUUCUGUGCCCACUUGACUAGGCUCUUCCUUAUCCUGACCAUAGAGCCCCAAACCUGCUCCUUCGCCCCAAUCGAAGUCCAACCCUUUAUGUUGUAUCAUCAGACAGUUGAGGGGCAGAAGCGUAAGCUGGAGGAAGCUGAGCAAAUGCUAAACCAAAGAAGGGAUCUAAUUGCCAGUUACAGAAAUUCAGUUGAGGAACUGAUAAAGUCCGAGCCUUAGAUGCUCAUUCUCCAUGCGUAGAUUUAUAUAGAAGAACGUUAAAGUUUUAUGGUUGGGUUAGAAGGGAAAUUUGAAACUGGUAUUAGAAUUUGGGGGUGUUAUGUUGGUCGAAAGCAACAUUGUGCCGCUUGAUCAUAUUUCAGUGCGAGGCAAUCUUCUUGUGGAGAUUUCGACUGGAAUCUGUUGGUUUAUCAUCCGAUGGUAGUGUC
This is an RNA transcript of Rhodamnia argentea, 923 nucleotides long. It is a transcript of the gene named mediator of RNA polymerase II transcription subunit 9-like, with no coding region annotated. The transcript has 6 exons. The record is from RefSeq and is a predicted model, not a curated record. Lineage: Eukaryota; Viridiplantae; Streptophyta; Magnoliopsida; Myrtales; Myrtaceae.